RNAcentral lists this ribosomal RNA (253 nucleotides) under uncultured bacterium. Its description in RNAcentral is "partial 16S ribosomal RNA". It matches the Rfam family "Bacterial small subunit ribosomal RNA", at positions 524 to 776 of the family's 1533-position model. The record is from RNAcentral.
UACAGAGGCCUCAAGCGUUAGGCGGAAUCACUGGGCUUAAAGCGCGUGUAGGCGGACCGUUAAGUGCCUUGUGAAAUCCCACGGCUCAACCGUGGAACUGCUGGGCAUACUGGCGGUCUCGGGCCACUCAGGGGUCGCCGGAACAAGCGGUGGAGCGGUGAAAUGCGUAGAUAUCGCUUGGAACGCCGAAGGUGAAGACAGGCGACUGGGAGUGUGCCGACGCUGAGACGCGAAAGCCAGGGGAGCAAACGGG